RNAcentral lists this ribosomal RNA (460 nucleotides) under uncultured bacterium. RNAcentral's name for it is "partial 16S ribosomal RNA". It matches the Rfam family "Bacterial small subunit ribosomal RNA", at positions 338 to 795 of the family's 1533-position model. The record is from RNAcentral.
CCUACGGGAGGCAGCAGUGAGGAAUAUUGGUCAAUGGACGAGAGUCUGAACCAGCCAAGUAGCGUGAAGGAUGACUGCCCUAUGGGUUGUAAACUUCUUUUAUAAAGGAAUAAAACGAGGCACGUGUGCCUUUUUGUAUGUACCCUAUGAAUAAGGAUCGGCUAACUCCGUGCCAGCAGCCGCGGUAAUACGGAGGAUACGAGCGUUAUCCGGAUUUAUUGGGUUUAAAGGGAGCGUAGAUGGGUUGUUAAGUCAGUUGUGAAAGUUUGCGGCUCAACCGUAAAAUUGCAAUUGAUACUGGCAGUCUUGAGUACAGUUGAGGUAGGCGGAAUGCGUGGUGUAGCGGUGAAAUGCUUAGAUAUCACGAAGAACCCCGAUUGCGAAGGCAGCUUACUGAACUGUGACUGACAUUGAUGCUCGAAAGUGUGGGUAACAAACAGGAUUAGAUACCCCGGUAGUC